AUACGUAGGUGGCAAGCGUUGUCCGGAUUUACUGGGUGUAAAGGGCGUGUAGGCGGAGAUGCAAGUCAGGAGUGAAAUCUAGGGGCUCAACCCCUAAACUGCUUUUGAAACUGUAUCCCUUGAGUAUCGGAGAGGCAGGCGGGAUUUCUAGUGUAGCGGUGGAAUGCCUAGAUAUUAGGAGGAACACCAGUGGCGAAGGCGGCCUGCUGGACGACAACUGACGCUGAGGCGCGAAAGCGUGGGGAGCAAACAGGAUUAGAUUCCCUGGUAGUCCACGCUGUAAACGAUGAAUACUAGGUGUGGGGGGACUGACCCCCUCCGUGCCGCAGUUAACACAAUAAGUAUUCCACCUGGGGAGUACGAUCGCAAGAUUGAAACUCAAAUGAAUUGACGGGG
RNAcentral lists this ribosomal RNA (396 nucleotides) under uncultured bacterium. RNAcentral describes it as "partial 16S ribosomal RNA". It matches the Rfam family "Bacterial small subunit ribosomal RNA", at positions 523 to 918 of the family's 1533-position model. The record is from RNAcentral.